GACGAACGCUGGCGGCGUGCUUAACACAUGCAAGUCGAACGGAAAGGCCCUGCUUUUGUGGGGUGCUCGAGUGGCGAACGGGUGAGUAACACGUGAGUAACCUGCCCUUGACUUUGGGAUAACUUCAGGAAACUGGGGCUAAUACCGGAUAGGAGCUCCUGCUGCAUGGUGGGGGUUGGAAAGUUUCGGCGGUUGGGGAUGGACUCGCGGCUUAUCAGCUUGUCGGUGGGGUAGUGGCUUACCAAGGCUUUGACGGGUAGCCGGCCUGAGAGGGUGACCGGCCACAUUGGGACUGAGAUACGGCCCAGACUCCUACGGGAGGCAACAGUGGGGAAUAUUGCACAAUGGGCGGAAGCCUGAUGCAGCAACGCCGCGUGCGGAAUGACGGCCUUCGGGUUGUAAACCGCUUUCGCCUGUGACGAAGCGUGAGUGACGGUAAUGGGUAAAGAAGCACCGGCUAACUACGUG
Molecule: ribosomal RNA, 468 nt
Filed under: uncultured bacterium
Lineage: Bacteria
Description: partial 16S ribosomal RNA
Rfam family: Bacterial small subunit ribosomal RNA
Source: RNAcentral